This 253-nucleotide ribosomal RNA is filed under the name uncultured bacterium. Its description in RNAcentral is "partial 16S ribosomal RNA". It matches the Rfam family "Bacterial small subunit ribosomal RNA", at positions 524 to 776 of the family's 1533-position model. The record is from RNAcentral.
UACGUAGGGUGCGAGCGUUAAUCGGAAUUACUGGGCGUAAAGGGCGCGUAGGCGGCCAUCUAAGUCAGACGUGAAAUCCCCCGGCUUAACCUGGGAACUGCGUCUGAUACUGGAAGGCUCGAGUAUGGGAGAGGGAUGUAGAAUUCCAGGUGUAGCGGUGAAAUGCGUAGAUAUCUGGAGGAAUACCGGUGGCGAAGGCGGCAUCCUGGACCAUUACUGACGCUGAGGCGCGAAAGUGUGGGGAGCGAACAGG